GGCUGGUUUCAGUGCAGUGGUGUUAACAACUAAUUGAUCACAACCACUAUAGAUUUCUUUAUUCCUUUUCCAUUCCCACUGGUUCACUUAGCUAGCCUUUC
This is a non-coding RNA of Gorilla gorilla gorilla (western lowland gorilla), 101 nucleotides long. It matches the Rfam family "Y RNA". Rfam says of the family: Y RNAs are components of the Ro ribonucleoprotein particle (Ro RNP), in association with Ro60 and La proteins. The Y RNAs and Ro60 and La proteins are well conserved, but the function of the Ro RNP is not known. In humans the RNA component can be one of four small RNAs -- hY1, hY3, hY4 and hY5. Lineage: Eukaryota; Metazoa; Chordata; Mammalia; Primates; Hominidae. The record is from Rfam.